GACGAACCGAGCGAACGUUGUUCGGAAUUACUGGGCGUAAAGAGCGCGCAGGCGGCUGGUCAAGUCCGAUGUGAAAUCUCCCGGCUCAACUGGGAAACUGCAUCGGAAACUGAUCGGCUUGAAGAUGGGAGAGGGUAGUGGAAUUCCCGGUGUAGUGGUGAAAUGCGUAGAUAUCGGGAGGAACACCAGUGGCGAAGGCGACUACCUGGCCCAUUCUUGACGCUGAGGCGCGAAAGCUAGGGGAGCGAACGGG
RNAcentral lists this ribosomal RNA (253 nucleotides) under uncultured bacterium. RNAcentral's name for it is "partial 16S ribosomal RNA". It matches the Rfam family "Bacterial small subunit ribosomal RNA", at positions 524 to 776 of the family's 1533-position model. The record is from RNAcentral.